GCUAUGAGGACUACCACUCCCUAUAGGCUAAAAAUCAGUUGUAAGGUUGAUCCAUAUUUGGGGACCUAUAGGCUAAAAAUCAGUUGUAAGGUUGAUCCAUAUUUGGGGACAAAUGUCAAGGAGGGUGUAGCCUAAGGAUCAGUUGUAAGGUUGAUCCAUAUUUGGGGACAAAUGUCAAGGAGGGUGUAAAUGUCAAGGAGGGUGUAGCCUAAGGAUCUGUUGUAAGGUUGAUCCAUAUUUGGGGACAAAUGUCAAGGAGGGUGUAAGGUUGAUCCAUAUUUGGGGACAAAUGUCAAGGAGGGUGUAAAUGUCAAGGAGGGUGUAGCCUAAGGAUCUGUUGUAAGGUUGAUCCAUAUUUGGGGACAAAUGUCAAGGAGGGUGCCUUAGUGGCACAACCUCCACGUCUUUGCCAUGCCAAUAGAUUAUCACCCGUUUUUUGUAUUCCAAAAAGCAACUCAAAGGAACGCCAAAGGCAAUGGUCAUAUUAAGACCAUUGAAUGUCAUUUAUUUUUAAAUUGCUCAUUUUUAACCUAAAAUUACAUAGCUUAAAACUUGUUUUACACAAUUUCAUCUCUUUCUUUCUGCUACGGAAUUACACAAACUACAACAAUUGAUCAAAACCAAAACACCCCUCCUCAAUCCUAAACCUAAUCAUCUCCUACCCAGCAUGAUUUUUGCUAAAUACAAGUCUUAUUUUAUUUUACUUACCCAAGGUUCGCCACAAUUGGUAUUCCAUCAAAACUAUUUCAAAAAAUUCCAAAAAACAUUUUUGGUUCAUCAUCGUUCAUAUUAAAAUUCCAAACACAAAUAAUCUUUUAAGCAACUCCUAGCUAUCACACACAAACAUCGAUAGAGAAUAUUGGUAGGGAAUGAUAACGAAACUAAAUGGAAAAAGCUUUAGGCAGUAGAAAAAAGAAAACCAAAGAUACCCAAAGGGGGAUAUAGUCAGACACUACAGGAGAAAAUUGCAUUAGCAGAAUCAUGGAGCACUACGUCAAAAAUCAACAUUGAUGGAAAAUGAUAUGAAAAAAAUAAAUGCUUUUAAGAAAAAUGGUCAUAAAUUUUCAUACUGAAAAAAAGUUCAUAUGAAGAAAAACAACGUUGAUUUCAACUUGUUCUGCUUAAGUUUCAUCAACAAUUUCUACCAACGAUAGCUAGUGGUUUUUAUUGAAUAAAUGUUGCUUGAUAGGUUGCUUGUGUUUGAAAUACAAAAUGAUAAAACCAGAAAAUGUUUUGUUAAAAUUUUAUCAUAGUCCCAUAAACAAUUCAUUAGAAAUAUCGUGAUGAAAUUACUAUAAAUGUGAGGUAAGAAAUUGCAGCGUUGAGUAAAAUUAAAUUAAGACUAAUAUCAAGCAAAUACCAUAGGAAAUCUUACAUGUUUUAGGUUUGAGUUCAGAUUUGGUGAAAGGGUAUUUGGAUUUUGAUCCAUUGAUGUAAUUUAUGCAACCACAAAACGGAAAAAAUCGCAUUAACAAUCUUGUAUCAAAAAAAAUAACGACGUACAUCAUAACAAUCUUGUAUCAACUCAUAAAAAUAAUGAAUCAUAACCAUAAAAAAAAAAACCUAGUAAAAAUGGUUGUACUAAGAAAAACAUAUUUGAAUCAUUUAACUUGAAAUGUUUAAAUUGAUAUUGGACAGAAAAACAAAUAUGUAGAACUUCAAAGAAUUAGCCGCUAUUUAUUUAAAAAUGCAUAAACACAACAAAUUUGUUGAAAAUCCGUAUUCUAGCCUUAAAACCUAAAUCAAAAUCUCACAACUUAACAAUUCGAGAAAAAAAAUUAGUGGAUUAGUAUGAUAAUAUUAGAAGAUAGAAUGUGGGAAAAAUGAUUGUUGAAGAAUCCAAUCAAGAAAAAUGGAGCACAACUGCCCACCUUUCCCAUGUCACAUUAAUGUUGCAGAGAACUCUUUCAGUCAAAGUGCAUCAAAUAGCACAACGCCGAUACACACUAUCUCUGCUUCUUAACUAAUCCAGAAUUAAUAAGUAAACUACUCGUUAAACAUCAGAUGUUUUAGAGAUUAUCUUAAUGGCGAAUAACAUGAACAAAAGAAAAAAAAUCGAAGUAUACAUAAAUAAAAAGAAAAGGAAGAAUUAGAACCUAGAAUCAUGCUUCGCUGUUGAAGAAAGAUGUGGCCGGUGGAUGGAAUAAAUAGGAGAGCGCUAGGGUUUAAUGUGAUUGUGGUUUACGUGGGCUUGAUAGAUAUGUUCUGGCCCAUUUUAUUUUAUAAUUUUGAUGUUUUAUAUAUAUGAAAUUAUGAACUUCACUAAAGAGAUUCUAGUCUCACUGCCUUUUUAAAUUAACAAAAUUCCAGUUCAAUUUACUUUUUAGGUAGAUUAUACUUUAUAAAUAAAUAAAUUACAUUCUACUCGGUAGGUUUUUUUUGGGUUGUCUUUGGAUUUUAACCAUGUAUAUUUUUAUAUGAAAUUGAAUCAUAUGUGAUUGACAUAUAUUAUAUAAAAUAUCUAAAACAUAUUGACAUCUAAUAUGACAUAAUUUGUUUAUUUAUCUUUAAAUAGCGUUGAGAUCUAGUUCAGUGUUAAUUCAAAUAUGACAAUGCGUUGAAAUAUAUUCCAACUAGGCGAAUGUUCGCGCGUUGCGCAGAAACACCUAUAUAGUUGAAGUCUUU
This 2625-nucleotide long non-coding RNA is filed under the name Lactuca sativa (garden lettuce). RNAcentral describes it as "long non-coding RNA (LSAT_LNC003922)". The record is from RNAcentral. Lineage: Eukaryota; Viridiplantae; Streptophyta; Magnoliopsida; Asterales; Asteraceae.